Molecule: long non-coding RNA, 236 nt
Organism: Pseudopipra pipra
Lineage: Eukaryota; Metazoa; Chordata; Aves; Passeriformes; Pipridae
Exons: 2
Source: RefSeq, a predicted model, not a curated record
GCCCAGGAGGGGCAGCAGCCCCACGCCCAGGCACAGCAGCCACAUCAGCAGCACCAUGGCGCAGGUGAAGCCCAGCGUGCGCUCGCUGUGUCCUUCCAGCCCUUGGUGCGAAGCCUCAUUCCUCGGUGAGCAUCGCUAAUAGCGUUGGCAGAGAGCUGGCAUCGACUUGCACUUAAUAUUCCUGCCCCAUUGGAUCUGCUGAUAAAUCUCAACUCUGACGUCAAAGUCUUCACUUA